Molecule: unclassified non-coding RNA, 300 nt
Organism: Callithrix jacchus (white-tufted-ear marmoset)
Lineage: Eukaryota; Metazoa; Chordata; Mammalia; Primates; Cebidae
Rfam family: Metazoan signal recognition particle RNA
About the family: The signal recognition particle (SRP) is a universally conserved ribonucleoprotein. It is involved in the co-translational targeting of proteins to membranes.
Source: Ensembl
GCCGGGCGCGGCGGUGCGUGCCUGUAGUCUCAGCUACUCGGGAGGCUGAGGCUGGAGAAUCACUUGAGCCCAGGAGUUCUGGGCUGUAGUGCACUAUGUUGAUCGGGUGUCUGUACUAAGUUCGGCAUCAAUAUGGUGACCUCCCGGGAGCAGGGGACCACCAGGUUGCCUAAGGAGGGGUGAACCGGCCCAGGUCGGAAAUGGAGCAGGUCAAAACUCCCAUGCUGCUCAGUAGUGGGAUCGCGCCUGUGAAUAGCCGCUGCACUCCAGCCUGGGCAACAUAACGAGAACCUGUCUCUU